RNAcentral lists this ribosomal RNA (774 nucleotides) under uncultured Neocallimastigales. RNAcentral's name for it is "partial large subunit ribosomal RNA". It matches the Rfam family "Eukaryotic large subunit ribosomal RNA", at positions 24 to 635 of the family's 3401-position model. Lineage: Eukaryota; Fungi; Neocallimastigomycota; Neocallimastigomycetes; Neocallimastigales. The record is from RNAcentral.
UAUCUCUGUAGAGUCUGCAUAUCAAUAAGCGGAGGAAAAGAAACUAACAGGAUUCCCUUAGUAACGGCGAGUGAAGCGGGAAGAGCUCAAAUUUGAAAUCUUCAAGGUUUUACCUUGACGAAUUGUAGUUUAAAGAAGUGUUUUCUGUUGGAGUUUCGGUAAAAGUUCUUUGGAAUAGGACAUCAUAGAGGGUGAGAAUCCCGUAUUUGACCAUUAUUUCCAGCUUUGUGAUACACUUUCAAAGAGUCGGAUUGUUUGGGAAUGCAGUCCAAAAUGGGUGGUAAAUUUCAUCUAAAGCUAAAUAUUGGCGAGAGACCGAUAGCGAACAAGUACCGUGAGGGAAAGAUGAAAAGAACUUUGAAAAGAGAGUUAAACAGUACGUGAAAUUGUCAAAAGGGAAGCGUUUGACACCAGUGUUGUUUUCUCGAAAAUCAAUUAAAAAUGGCUUGAUUUUGUGUUGUAUUGACCUUAAAAGCUUUCUUCACUUUUUUCAUGUCUUUUUUAAUGCACUUUUCGUUUAACAAGUCAACAUCAGUUUCUUUUGUUGUAAAAAGGGUCAUUGGAAGGUGGCUUUCUUUUCGGAGAAAGUGUUUAUAGCCUUUGACUUCUGCAAUCGGAGAGACUGAGGUCUGCAGCGUAGAUCCUUCUGGAUUAGAUUCAUUUGUGCUAAGUUACAACCGUUUAUAGACAACUUGUUGACUAUAUUCGAUCCUGUAGCUUACUCGCUUAUGUAAUUUUACCUACGCUUAGGAUGUUGAAGAUGUAGCACAUCAU